This 255-nucleotide ribosomal RNA is filed under the name uncultured bacterium. RNAcentral describes it as "partial 16S ribosomal RNA". It matches the Rfam family "Bacterial small subunit ribosomal RNA", at positions 524 to 777 of the family's 1533-position model. The record is from RNAcentral.
UACGGAGGGUGCAAGCGUUAUCCGGAUUCACUGGGUUUAAAGGGUGUGUAGGCGGGUGUUUAAGUCAGUGGUGAAAUCUCCAGGCUCAACCUGGAAACUGCCAUUGAUACUAUUCAUCUUGAAUUCUGUUGAGGUGGGCGGAAUAUAUCAUGUAGCGGUGAAAUGCUUAGAUAUGAUAUAGAACACCGAUUGCGAAGGCAGCUCACUAAACAGCGAUUGACGCUGAGGCACGAAAGCGUGGGGAAUCAAACAGGG